This 158-nucleotide ribosomal RNA is filed under the name Dysgonomonas sp. enrichment culture clone YFZ23. Its description in RNAcentral is "partial 16S ribosomal RNA". It matches the Rfam family "Bacterial small subunit ribosomal RNA", at positions 340 to 497 of the family's 1533-position model. Lineage: Bacteria; Pseudomonadati; Bacteroidota; Bacteroidia; Bacteroidales; Dysgonomonadaceae. The record is from RNAcentral.
UACGGGAGGCAGCAGUGAGGAAUAUUGGUCAAUGGACGAGAGUCUGAACCAGCCAAAUCGCGUGAAGGAAGACUGCCCUACGGGUUGUAAAUUCUUUUGUACAGGAAUAAAAGACAUUACGUGUAGUGUAUUGCAUUACUUACGAGUAGCUCGUCCGC